UGAAUACGAGAUGCUACGGCGUCGAAGCAGUCUGUGUCAUACUUCCAAGAAAAGCUUGCACUGUCAUAAACAAAUAAUGCCUGUACCAUAACCGACACAGGUGGGUAGGUAGAGUAUACUAAGGGGCGCGAGAUAACUCUCUCUAAGGAACUCGGCAAAAUGACUCCGUAACUUCGGGAGAAGGAGUGCCUUAUUUAUAAGGUUGCAAUAACAAGAUCCAAGCAACUGUUUACCAAAAACACAGGUCUCCGCGAAGUCGUAAGACGAUGUAUGGGGGCUGACGCCUGCCCAGUGCCAGAAGGUUAAAGAAGUUGGUUAGCAUUCGCGAAGCUGAUAACUGAAGCCCUGGUGAACGGCGGCCGUAACAAUAACGGUCCUAAGGUAGCGAAAUUCUUUGUCGGGUAAGUUCCGACCCGCACGAAAGGCGUAAUGAUUUGGAUACUGUCUCGGAGAGGGGCUCGGUGAAAUAGACUUGUCUGUGAAGAUGCGGACUACCUGCACCUGGACAGAAAGACCCUAUGAAGCUUUACUGUAACUUGAAAUUGAAAUUGGACUUUAUUUGCGCAGUAUAGGUGGGAGGCGUUGAAGAUAUUCUUGCGGGAUUAUUGGAGCCAUCAGUGAGAUACCACUCUUGUAAUGUUAGAUUUCUAACUUUGUAUCAUUAUCUGGUCAAAGAACAGUUUCAGGCGGGCAGUUUGACUGGGGCGGUCGCCUCCCAAACGGUAACGGAGGCGCACAAAGGUUUCCUCUGAACGGGUAGAAAUCGUAUCUAGAGUGUAAAGGCAUAAGGAAGCUUGACUGUGAGACCUACAAGUCGAGCAGGGACGAAAGUCGGUCUUAGUGAUCCGACGGUGCUGAGUGGAAAGGCCGUCACUCAACGGAUAAAAGUUACUCUAGGAUAACAGGCUGAUCUCCCCCAAGGGUUCACAUCGACGGGGAGGUUUGGCACCUCGAUGUCGGCUCAUCGCAUCCUGGGGCGGUAGUACGUCCCAAGGGUUGGGCUGUUCGCCCAUGAAAGCGGUACGCGAGCUGGGUUCAGAACGUCGUGAGACAGUUCGGUCCAUAUCCGGUGUAGGCGUUAGAAUAUUGAGAGGAGCCUUCUCUAGUACGAGAGGACCGAGAAGGACAUACCUCUGGUGUACCAGUUAUCGUGCCAACGGUAAACGCUGGGUAGCUAUGUAUGGAGAGGAUAACCGCUGAAAGCAUCUAAGUGGGAAGCCCACCUCAAGAUAAG
This 1234-nucleotide ribosomal RNA is filed under the name metagenome. Its description in RNAcentral is "bacterial LSU rRNA". It matches the Rfam family "Bacterial large subunit ribosomal RNA", at positions 1564 to 2808 of the family's 2925-position model. The record is from RNAcentral.